RNAcentral lists this long non-coding RNA (2100 nucleotides) under Homo sapiens (human). RNAcentral describes it as "HSALNT0283839". The record is from RNAcentral. Lineage: Eukaryota; Metazoa; Chordata; Mammalia; Primates; Hominidae.
GGCUCAACUGGGACAAGUGAUUGCAUUUUUCUUCUCAAAUGGUGGGCUACAUAACAAGAAUUUAGCAUUAGACAGGUAUGCCAGUGUUGCUGCUAGUGGAAAGUGCACCAAUAUACAUGCUACUCCAGGAUAAGGUUGGCAGAUAUGCUUUGGUCAAACACUGGCAUGCACAAGGGACGAACAAACAAACGUAGACAGCCGUCAUAUCUUGCCAUCAAGAACAAGAUUUAAGAAAAGACCUGUGGCCGUGGUCAUGUAUGAUGUAGCUCAAUCACCCCAGAAACAGAAGAUGUUAUUAAAAGUAUAAGCUGAUUCCAGUUUGGCUCUGGCAGAGUGAGGGCAGAAGAGAGGACAACAUGUUGGAGGGGAAGCCAGAGAGUUAACCAGAGAUUAAAUCCUGUUGGCUCUUACCGGACAAGGACUGGGCUUUUACUCUGAGUGAGAUCAGAAGCCAUUGCUGGGCUGGGACCGGAGGAGAUACACAGCUCACAAAACACAUCAAUACAGAGAAUUCAAACUUCUGAAAAACAUAUUGGAUGAAGAAAUGAAGUCCAAAUUAAAAUGAGGAAGUCCAGUCAGAUGACGAACUUGAACACAAAGAGCAAGCCAUUGAGCACUAGUUGGCCACAGAUGUGGAUUUAAGUUUUCUAGCUGCCAAAAUGUAAAGAGGGAAACACGAUCCUCUGCAGGACUCAACAGUAUCCCUGAGAUCGAAUCUGACAAACUGCUCAGAAGGGGCACCUAUGCUUUUCCCUGAGAUGAAUGUCUCCCAUCGUCAGAUGUCAGAUUCUGGAUCUAUUUUGACAAGAGAGCUCAAAGGAUUUCUUCACAGAUGGAAAUGAGGGGUGCUAGACCUCCAGAGAGAGAAAAUGAGACACAUAAGGUGGAAAUUACUCUGUGGUGACACACUGUGGAGUCCUGCCCACAACCCGGAUACUUGGACCCACUCCACUGAAACCUUAGGCCACAGCUAAGUUCCUUCCUUCAAAAAAUAAAUCUAAGAAAGAGGAAAAACAGGAAUGACCUCCUUUCAGGCACUCUGUUGGUUUUAUGGCGCCUCUUCUUGCGAAUGUUUGUGUAAAAUUGACAUACUGUGGUCCUUUUCUGCACAAUUACGGCAAGGAAAAUUCAGAUCGCAAAGGUCCACCUUUCAUCUGCAUCUCAUUACCGGGUAGCAGGAAUAAGUAGGCUGACCCUCAGUUUGGACCGGGAACAGCUGUCGGACGUUACUGGGAGGAAUGAGGGCGAGGAAGAGAAAGACGUUAGUCCUCGGACCGUUUCCGAGAGUCAUCUCCGGGAGUAAUGCGAAGAUGGACACGCUCAGUCCUGCCUGUGCAUGCGCGUUCGCGUUGUACGGAAUUCCCAAGCCAGCUGCGUAGUUUCUGCCUUGAAGCUAUUUGGCGAGAAGUUUCGCCUGUUCCUUUACUUUGUGGGUCAGGGCUUGGGUGCUUGAGUGGGAGAAACAGAAAGCCAGCUAGCCCUGGAACCCCUUCUAAGAUCGUCAUCCACCCAGCCAUCCAUAAAUCUGUUCAUCCAUGAAACAAAUAAUCAUUGAGCACCCCUUAUAUGCCAGACACACGUAAGGAUGCAAGGGCCGCGUUCUCAUUCUAGUGGGUGGGGACAGAGAGUAAACAAAUUAUCUACUUAAUUUCAGAUAGUGGUAAGUGAUAGAAAAUAAAACGGGGUGAUAUUGUCAGAGGCGUUUGAACCAGAGCGACUCCAUUCCGAGUGAGGGCUAGGAAAAUGAAGCUGAGGCUUGCUGGGCUGCAUUCCCAGAAAGUUAGGUAUUCCCAGCCUCUAGAUGUUUACGGUUAAGGGAACAAAUUAAUAACGUUUACUAAACAGACCCAGACUUGGGAGUGUCCAGAUAUUCCGAUAUCUGGAGAAGAAAGGCAUUCCUAAUUUUGCCUUAAAGAUAACAACACUGAUUCUUGCAAAACAUAGUAAUUAAGAAAAUUAAUCCUCUAUCACAAACCCUUGUAGCAGAGCACAUCUCCUCAUAUAACAAGCAUUGUACCUAGGGUGGACGCAUUCCUCCUCUUACUUUUGGGAACGUCCUACUCUGUCUAUGGAGUAGCUGCCCUUUCACCACUGUGCUUU